GAGAGAGAGAGAGAGCGUGGUUCUCUUCUUUCUCCUCCCAAAUCAACAAAUCUUACUGAAGCGUAUGUCUCUAACGAGGAAGCUUCAUCGCUUCUAGGGUUUCCAGAGGAAUGACUGGAGAAAGGAGAUGACUUUAUAAAAAUCCUGCUUUGUUGUGAUUUCUUCUUCUUCUUCUUCUUCUUCUUCUUCUAUGCCAACAGCAGUUGGAGCCCAAAAAGCUCUUCUUAGGUCCAAGUUUCUCUUUUUUUUUUUUUUUUUUUUUUUUUUUUUUUCUUUUUUGGCAAAGUCUCUAAUCUUAG
RNAcentral lists this long non-coding RNA (299 nucleotides) under Capsella grandiflora. RNAcentral describes it as "long non-coding RNA (CGRA_LNC001774)". Lineage: Eukaryota; Viridiplantae; Streptophyta; Magnoliopsida; Brassicales; Brassicaceae. The record is from RNAcentral.